Molecule: ribosomal RNA, 253 nt
Filed under: uncultured bacterium
Lineage: Bacteria
Description: partial 16S ribosomal RNA
Rfam family: Bacterial small subunit ribosomal RNA
Source: RNAcentral
UACGUAGGGUGCGAGCGUUAAUCGGAAUUACUGGGCGUAAAGCGUGCGCGGGCGGUUUUGUAAGUCAGAUGUGAAAUCCCCGAGCUCAACUUGGGAACUGCGUUUGAAACUACAAGACUAGAAUAUGUCAGAGGGGGGUAGAAUUCCACGUGUAGCAGUGAAAUGCGUAGAGAUGUGGAGGAAUACCAAUGGCGAAGGCAGCCCCCUGGGAUAAUAUUGACGCUCAUGCACGAAAGCGUGGGGAGCAAACAGG